UGAGUUACUAUUCACGAGUUACUAUUCACGAUUUAUUAUUCACGAGUUACUAUUCAUGAGUUACUAUUUAUGAGUUACUAUUUACGAGUUACUAUUCACGGGUACUAUUCACUACAAAAUUGGUUUGUUUUUCUAACCAAAGUAUAGUUGAUUUAUGAAUAUUACUCUGGAGAUUAAAAAUAUGUAUUGAUUAUAUUGAUUUUAUUAUCAUAUAUAACAUUUUUAUAACCUUGAUGUUGAAAUUCUCUUUUUACUGGAGUGUAAAGAUGGGUAAAUUAUUGGUAUGAUCAUGACUAAGGUUCUCUUUGGCCAGUAGUGCAAAGUUGAAUUGUUGACUGGUAUGAUCAUGACCAUUGAAUUUAUAAUUGAAUAUCUUUAGCUUAAGUGCAAAGGUGAAUUGAUCAACAUGGUUAUAAUUAUUGUUUAUAUAAAUUCUGAAAUGAUUAUGUAUUUCUUUGAGAUAUGAAUGUCUUUGGCCUGUAGUGCAAAGAUGACCUGUUGUUGAAUAUCUUUGGCCUGUAGUGCAAAGAUGAACUGUUAAUGAAUAUCUUUGGCCCGUAGUGCAAAGAUGAAUUUAUUAGUAUGAUUAUGAACAGGAACUGUGAUUUGGUAUAACCAUGAUCUUUGAUAUUUCAGGUAAAGACAGGUGAUAAAAAUUAACUUUGUCCUGGAUGAGGAAAGGAAUUUAGAACUACAAUUACGAUUAUGAGUUAUACAUGUGAUUGUGGACAGGAAUUGUUGAUUGAUGUUACAGGGAUAAAACAUUGUUGGUGGACUUUUAACAUGGAGAAGAUAAUAGACUUUAUAGUCUAUUUGACUCUUCUAAUGGAUUGCUCGUUCCGCUGCAACUAUGGUUGAAAUUUUUUUAUCAUCUACCAUAUGUUCUAAAUCUCUGAUUUAUUAUUGAUGAAGGCUAUUGAUAAUUUAAUUAUUUUUAGUCAUGAUAUUCUUUACUGAGCUAGUUGUGCUCACCCUUUUACAUCACAAUUCCUUUCAGGUAAUACGAGUGUAGCUGGGUCGAGCGGGGGUAACAGGGGAAUAGAACGGUGGUCAUCAUUUAGUAGUUAUAUUUGUUGAAUGAAAUAGGGUGAAACGAACCCAACGUUGGAAGGGUGUUUUACCACUAUCAUACAAGAUGUCUAAUGACAUACAACCUCGUAUCGUCAUAAGACAGGGUUGUGCUCAUCCACUUGCUGAGUAUAUUUACAAACACUAUCUAUAUAAUCUUGGUGUUUGUUUGGAGUUUAAUUCCCAAUUAGAGACAGUGGAGAUAAUGAUAUGUCAAGAGAAGACUCACCAUUGGGAAGAAUGUGAUAGUAAUCUUCCCGUUUUUCUUUGGGGUCUAUUGGGUCAACCAAGGAUAAUUCUGUAGGCAUAUGAUAUCUAUCAUUCAUGGCCUCCCAUGUACGAAGGUUUCCUUGAGUACUUCCCAAAGAUUCUAAUUUCUAAAACAGUUUUCGACUAUACCUUUAUGUAAGGUGUCAUUAUGAGGUGUUGUCCACGGUUGGGACAUGAGUCACAGUUGGUAUAUAUUUGUAUUUAAAUUCACAGUUUAAGUGUUGUCAUAUCUUGCACGACAAUUGUAUUAAUAAAGUUGUAGUUGUUUUCUGUACCAUGUAUUUGGCGACUCAGAAUGGGUUGGUUGGAUUGGACCUAUUUUGGGGUUGUCACAACUGCUAUGUUUAAACACCUUGCUUCCUUCACAUUGAAG
RNAcentral lists this long non-coding RNA (1711 nucleotides) under Panax ginseng (ginseng). RNAcentral describes it as "long non-coding RNA (PGIN_LNC002359)". The record is from RNAcentral. Lineage: Eukaryota; Viridiplantae; Streptophyta; Magnoliopsida; Apiales; Araliaceae.